This 23-nucleotide non-coding RNA is filed under the name Arabidopsis thaliana (thale cress). The record is from RNAcentral. Lineage: Eukaryota; Viridiplantae; Streptophyta; Magnoliopsida; Brassicales; Brassicaceae.
UGCUCUGAUUCCACAAACCUAGU